RNAcentral lists this non-coding RNA (119 nucleotides) under Microcebus murinus (gray mouse lemur). RNAcentral describes it as "U4atac minor spliceosomal RNA (ENSMICG00000019766.3)". It matches the Rfam family "U4atac minor spliceosomal RNA". From Rfam's summary of the family: U4atac is an essential component of the minor U12-type spliceosome complex which is required for removal of the rarer class of eukaryotic introns (AT-AC, U12-type). These interacting stem loops have been shown to be required for in vivo splicing. The record is from Rfam by way of RNAcentral. Lineage: Eukaryota; Metazoa; Chordata; Mammalia; Primates; Cheirogaleidae.
ACUAUCCUUGUCUUGGGGUAGUGCUACUGUCCAAUGAACAAAUAGUGAGGGCAGUACUGCUAAUGCCUACACAACACGCCCGCAUCAACUAGAGGUUUUUUGGGGUUUUUUUUGUUUUU